GAGUUUGAUCAUGGCUCAGAUUGAACGCUGGCGGCAGGCCUAACACAUGCAAGUCGAGCGGUAGCACAGAGAGCUUGCUCUCGGGUGACGAGCGGCGGACGGGUGAGUAAUGUCUGGGAAACUGCCUGAUGGAGGGGGAUAACUACUGGAAACGGUAGCUAAUACCGCAUAAUGUCGCAAGACCAAAGAGGGGGACCUUCGGGCCUCUUGCCAUCAGAUGUGCCCAGAUGGGAUUAGCUAGUAGGUGGGGUAACGGCUCACCUAGGCGACGAUCCCUAGCUGGUCUGAGAGGAUGACCAGCCACACUGGAACUGAGACACGGUCCAGACUCCUACGGGAGGCAGCAGUGGGGAAUAUUGCACAAUGGGCGCAAGCCUGAUGCAGCCAUGCCGCGUGUAUGAAGAAGGCCUUCGGGUUGUAAAGUACUUUCAGCGGGGAGGAAGGCGAUAAGGUUAAUAACCUUGUCGAUUGACGUUACCCGCAGAAGAAGCACCGGCUAACUCCGUGCCAGCAGCCGCGGUAAUACGGAGGGUGCAAGCGUUAAUCGGAAUUACUGGGCGUAAAGCGCACGCAGGCGGUCUGUCAAGUCGGAUGUGAAAUCCCCGGGCUCAACCUGGGAACUGCAUUCGAAACUGGCAGGCUAGAGUCUUGUAGAGGGGGGUAGAAUUCCAGGUGUAGCGGUGAAAUGCGUAGAGAUCUGGAGGAAUGCCGGUGGCGAAGGCGGCCCCCUGGACAAAGACUGACGCUCAGGUGCGAAAGCGUGGGGAGCAAACAGGAUUAGAUACCCUGGUAGUCCACGCCGUAAACGAUGUCGACUUGGAGGUUGUGCCCUUGAGGCGUGGCUUCCGGAGCUAACGCGUUAAGUCGACCGCCUGGGGAGUACGGCCGCAAGGUUAAAACUCAAAUGAAUUGACGGGGGCCCGCACAAGCGGUGGAGCAUGUGGUUUAAUUCGAUGCAACGCGAAGAACCUUACCUACUCUUGACAUCCAGAGAACUUUCCAGAGAUGGAUUGGUGCCUUCGGGAACUCUGAGACAGGUGCUGCAUGGCUGUCGUCAGCUCGUGUUGUGAAAUGUUGGGUUAAGUCCCGCAACGAGCGCAACCCUUAUCCUUUGUUGCCAGCGGUUAGGCCGGGAACUCAAAGGAGACUGCCAGUGAUAAACUGGAGGAAGGUGGGGAUGACGUCAAGUCAUCAUGGCCCUUACGAGUAGGGCUACACACGUGCUACAAUGGCGCAUACAAAGAGAAGCGACCUCGCGAGAGCAAGCGGACCUCAUAAAGUGCGUCGUAGUCCGGAUUGGAGUCUGCAACUCGACUCCAUGAAGUCGGAAUCGCUAGUAAUCGUAGAUCAGAAUGCUACGGUGAAUACGU
RNAcentral lists this ribosomal RNA (1370 nucleotides) under unidentified marine bacterioplankton. RNAcentral's name for it is "bacterial SSU rRNA". It matches the Rfam family "Bacterial small subunit ribosomal RNA", at positions 9 to 1371 of the family's 1533-position model. The record is from RNAcentral.